GUGUUAGCUCAGCUGGUUAGAGCGCCGGCCUGUCACGUCGGAGGUCGAGGGUUCAAGUCCCUUACAU
This 67-nucleotide transfer RNA is filed under the name bovine gut metagenome. It matches the Rfam family "tRNA", at positions 5 to 66 of the family's 71-position model. Rfam says of the family: Transfer RNA (tRNA) molecules are approximately 80 nucleotides in length. The record is from RNAcentral.